Long non-coding RNA from Pseudoliparis swirei, 358 nucleotides. RefSeq lists it as uncharacterized. The record is from RefSeq and is a predicted model, not a curated record. Lineage: Eukaryota; Metazoa; Chordata; Actinopteri; Perciformes; Liparidae. The transcript has 3 exons.
GUCCAACAACUUUACUAUUUACACAGUUUCCAUUUUUUCUCCAGCACACACCUUUGGAUGCCAGUGUUUUGGCCUGUUCAACAAAAGGUCUGAGAAAGAUGGACAUGACAGGCUCUUGAGCCCCAAACCACAGACCUGCAAGUACUACAUUGUUAAAUCUCAUUUUGGGAGGAAGCUCGUUUAAAUGCAGCUGUAUUGGCCAUAUUGAAAAUCUGGAAGACUUGAACACAGAUCUUCCAGAUCUGAAUCGAGUCCAUAAACACUGCCUUCAGGCUUGCUGGCAAUCUUAAAACACCCCUCCAGUAUGGUCGGUAAGCUAACCUGGUCGGUUGUGUCAUCUGUAUCCAGCUGAAGAUCA